GGACUACCAGGGUAUCUAAUCCUGUUUGCUACCCACGCUUUCGCGCCUCAGCGUCAGAUAAGGUCCAGUUUGCUGCCUUCGCCAUGGGUGUUCCUCCUGAUAUCAACGCAUUUCACCGCUACACCAGGAAUUCCACAAACCUCUACCUUCCUCAAGUCUGCCAGUAUGAAAAGCAGUUUCCGGGUUGAGCCCUGGAGAUUUCACUUCUCACUUAACAGACCGCCUACGCGCUCUUUACGCCCAGUAAAUCCGGACAACGCUUGCUCCCUACGUCUUACCGCGGCUGCUGGCAC
RNAcentral lists this ribosomal RNA (293 nucleotides) under uncultured bacterium. Its description in RNAcentral is "partial 16S ribosomal RNA". The record is from RNAcentral.